RNAcentral lists this ribosomal RNA (83 nucleotides) under Tepidibacter formicigenes DSM 15518. The record is from RNAcentral. Lineage: Bacteria; Bacillati; Bacillota; Clostridia; Peptostreptococcales; Peptostreptococcaceae.
CCAUUCCGAACACAGAAGUUAAGCUCCUUAGCGCCGAUGGUACUUGGAGGGAAGCCUCCUGGGAGAGUAGGACGUAGCCACGU